This is a long non-coding RNA of Mirounga angustirostris (Northern elephant seal), 554 nucleotides long. RefSeq lists it as uncharacterized. Lineage: Eukaryota; Metazoa; Chordata; Mammalia; Carnivora; Phocidae. The transcript is spliced from 4 exons. The record is from RefSeq and is a predicted model, not a curated record.
UGUGCUCACUCCCAGGACUCGUGCAAGUGCAGGAAGGACACAUCGGGUGGGAGGCACCUGGUUCAUGUUGCAAACUAAUCUCAGCUCAAGUUCAGCAGUUCAGAAGGCGGAAGGGAAGAAAGCGGGCAUUAGCUAAACUCCUCUUGGUUCCUGGCAUGGAUAUGUUUCCCACACAAUGCCAAGCAUGCUUCUUGAGACCCUUAUGAAGAGUUUCUUCCCCUCGGUCUGCAGAUAAGAACACAGAGGACCCGAGGUGAAGGGGACUUGUUCAAGGACCAGAUUUAUUGCUCAUGGGUAUCAGAAUCAGCUCAUUUUGACACCAAACCCUGGCAUCUACAGAUUGCAAAUGAGGGGGGAUCACAGAAGAACACCUUGGGUGCGUCAAUGGGAUGUCCAGGUAGUCCUGAGAUGCUGCUGCUAAUGGUGAUCUGCCAUCCAUACCUGGUCUCCACCACCACCUGUUGCCUGUGAAUCUAGUCCUGCUGCCCAGUCCUAAACAUUCAACUGCUUGUGGACUGCCAACUCUGCUGCUCCAUCCCCUCCCUCAUGUCUGG